ACAGAGUCCACGCCCCGCGCGGCUCCCUCGCGUCCCGCGUCCCGCGUCCCGCGUCCCCUGCUCACCCGGUGGCAAAGCCGGCGAGGAGGCGGCGGCGCUGGUGGGGACUGACCCGGCAGUCCGAGAAUCCACCGCGGCCUUUUCACCCAACCGCCCCCUCCUGCGUGGGGGCCCCGCAUCCCCUGGACUGGCGUGGGCUCUGGGGCCCGAUGCCCUGGCAGCCCCGGCCAUCUCUGCCGCUGGCCGCGGGUACCUGCUCACCUGUCCACGCCGUGGCCGACCCGGGGAUCACCGACAGCCGGGCCAUGCCUCGAGUCCCGCCGCCCGCGCCGCUGCUCGGCUUCUCAGAAACGCACCUCCACGCCGCCAGCCGGGGCUCCAGGGUCCACCGCCCGGGCCCGGAGGACUGGCGACUCCCUCCGAGGUUGGGAGCGCUCCGGAUUUCUCCAACUUCAGGUCGGUCCCCACCCACCGGGCCACGUGACUGGGGAGGAGCAGACCUGGAUAAGAAAUAUGUGCACUCUGCAAAGAACCAAUGAUAAAAGUAACAAUAUCGACGCUUACUGAGCCUUUACUAUGUGCCAGGUACUAGACUAGACACUUAAAAUGCAGUAUCUCAUUGGAUCCUGGCAACAGCUUGUAAGAUAGUAUUCUCAUCACCCCCAUUUUACAGGCAAAUACCUGAUACCUUCUGUCUGGCCUCCUGAAUGCUCCUUGGUUCCAUUCCAAUACGUUGUUCACUGUGCUGCCAGAGUAAUCUUCUCAAACGAUAAGUGUGAUCAUCUCACUUCCCUGCUAAGAGCACCUCAAAAGGCUUCCUAUUGCUCUUAGGAGAAACCCACAUUCUUGCAUGGUCUGCCUAGACCCUGCAUAUUCACUCUGUACUUCAGCCUCAUGGGCCUUCUUCCAGUUCCUUCCAGUCACCUGUUGCCAAAUGGCCUGCCUUUGACUGUCCUGUUCCCUCUGUGUGCAGUGCCCCCUCCUACCCUCUUCAGGAAACUCCUAUGCUUCUUCCAGACCUCAGCUCCAUUAUCAUUUCUUUAGGAAAGCCUUCUCUGACCUUCCAGAGAGAGUGAAGUCUCUCUAAUUAUAUACUAUCUAUCUCUUGGGCAUUUGACACUUUCUGUGGGGGUAGGGGUAGGGGGGUACUGGUUGUUGGAUUAAUAUUUGUCUCCUCCACUGAUUGGAACCUCCAGGAAGGUGACUGAACCCAUUUUUUGCUUAGCAUUGAUGCCCUAAUAUGCAGAGGGUUCUCAAAUACUAGUGAAAGGAUGGCAAAAAGUUAAGGUCGUACCAAAGAAAUCAAGUGGUAAAGCUGGCAUUUACUCCCAGAACCUGUGCUGGACUACCUAGACCUGGAGAGACUGGG
Molecule: long non-coding RNA, 1369 nt
Filed under: Homo sapiens (human)
Lineage: Eukaryota; Metazoa; Chordata; Mammalia; Primates; Hominidae
Description: non-protein coding lnc-AKIP1-2:6
Source: RNAcentral